Hipposideros armiger (great roundleaf bat) is the source of this 1602-nucleotide long non-coding RNA. RefSeq lists it as uncharacterized. The transcript is spliced from 3 exons. Lineage: Eukaryota; Metazoa; Chordata; Mammalia; Chiroptera; Hipposideridae. The record is from RefSeq and is a predicted model, not a curated record.
ACCGGAUGGAGAGUCCUGAGAAGGCUUAAUUUGCAGGAAGACAUUCUCAUCAGAUCGCGUCUCCGGCAGCCGAGCGCUGCUGCUGGGGGUCGGACUGGGCUCCACCCAGUACCCCUCCCCCGAGCCCUGCCUGGUGAGGCGAGAAACCGAGAUGGUGGAAGCAGAAACUGGAGCCCCGGCGCCGAGCAGCCGCGAGGGACCGAGGCCUUUGAGGGUUCUGCUGCCUCUUGCCAAGGCAGAAGCCUUCAGAAGGAGGGAGAAGAGAAAGAGAAGCUGAGGUCAGCACCAGGAUCGGCUCAGGAGCUGGGAGCCCAGGCUGGGCCCAGUGCAGCCAGGCCUGUGAGCACAGGGUUCCCAUGAUCUGAAUUACGAGGAUUUUCCAACAACCUCCCCAACUCUGCUGUUUGACUUGUGGAAGGAGAAAAGCAACCAGUCUGAAGAAAGUGCUGAAGAGAUAUUUAGAGCUGCAAAAAGGUCAAAGAGACAAGGAAAGCGAAAAAUCAGAGAGGAAAAAGAAAAGAAAUGCAAGAAGGGGAUUCACAUGCAUGGAGCACAUGGGGUGGGCUUGAGAGGAUGAUCUCAGCCAUCUUCACAACCCUUCCAGGAGUUUUAGCAUUUCACAGAUGAGGAACUCCCACUCAGAGGGGCUACAUGGUGUUCCCAGCUGGUGAAGGUCUAGAACACAGGGCUGUCUGAUUUCAGCAGGGUGGGUUCCCUGGGAAAUGCAGAGCUUUCACUCCUGGCUUGAUCCCUGUGAGUUCAAGUAGCCUGGGAUGCUCCGAGGGCCGGUGGUGCUUGUGGCCGGAGGGCAGCCAAUUGCCCCGGACCCACUGGGCCUGGGCCAGCCUGGGCCUGCUGUCCAAGGCUGGGCUUACAGCUGGGCUGUCCACUGGGAGGAUUGAUGACUAUGCUCUCCGGGAAUUGAUAAGUCAGAACCCAAUUAAAGGCUUUUCAACUCAGGCCAGAGUUCUCAGCCACAGAGAAGGUGCCCUUUGCGUUGGGGCCAGCAGCUCAUUCUCUGGAUGGAAGCCUCCAGUCCAAGCAGGAUUCAACACCCUCCUUUGCCCCAUCCACAGCUCCUGUCUGCUGAGAGUGGUCAAGGCCACUCCCCCAACCCCCCUACAGUCCUGCAGUUCCCCUCCUCCCUGGGUGGCCUACCCUCUGUAGGGGGUGCCAGCUGCCUAGGCAGAGAAGUGGAACAGUGCUCUGCAAGACGCACCCCAACCACACCCAGCUGUGAGUGCCUGAGGAGUCACCCAUUGACCUACCCCUGUGUGACACGCAUGUGUGGGCGCUCCCAGUGGUCAUGUGACAUCAGGAGAGUCAAGGAGAGGAGGCACAGGAAGCAGCGGAUACUAAGGCAAAAUAUGAACAUUCAGUGACAAACAAGAAAUAAAAGGCCCCCGCUACUCCAGGGGUCAGAGUUCCACGUGUGACCAGUAGUCACAGGUGCCACUUGCAAGAGCAGGGCAAAGCCCUCAGGGAGUUGAACGGAGGCCCAGACUGAUGAUGACAUUUUAAUAAUCAAUCAUUAUUAAUCAUUCUAAUUAUUAAACAAAAUAUAUUAAUAUUUGGUUAACUAUUAAAGUACUAGUGAAAACA